ACGCUUUGGCAACAAUAAGGUUUAAACGAUGACUGGAGUAAUGAACAUGCAACGCCUUCGGGUUUUUCUCUAAUAUUCUCCCAGAAAUACCUUUUUCCUGGCUGGACACAGCACUAGCACCGUCAUAUCCCUGGCCUCGACAAUUUUGAACGGAAGCCCGACAUCUUGAAGUGUACUUUGACUAAUGAACGGAAUCAAAUCCAAAGGCGAAACAGUUCGGUAUACAAAUGAAAAUGUUCUUGAAUCAUGUAAAACUUCAAAUUUAUUCAAGAAUGUAUUAAAUUAUCCAGAAAGUAUAAGCUUGGAGUUAUCAUUAAAAAGUGCCUUGCACCAGAUAUUUUCAAUAAUUAGCUAUCGAGACCAUCCUCAGUUGU
Molecule: long non-coding RNA, 374 nt
Organism: Dendronephthya gigantea
Lineage: Eukaryota; Metazoa; Cnidaria; Anthozoa; Malacalcyonacea; Nephtheidae
Exons: 3
Source: RefSeq, a predicted model, not a curated record